UUUGAGGUAAAGGAGCAGUUCUGACCCGCGACGCCGCGUGCGGGAUGAAGGCCUUCGGGUUGUAAACCGCUUUCAGCAGGGAAGAAGCGAAAGUGACGGUACCUGCAAAAGAAGCACCGGCUAACUAUGUGCCAGCAGCCGCGGUAAUACAUAGGGUGCAAGCGUAAAACCGGAAUUAUUGGGCGUAAAGAGCUCGUAGGUGGUUCGUCACGUCGGAUGUGAAAAUCUGGGGCUCAACCCCAGACCUGCAUUCGAUACGAGCGAGCUAGAGUUUGGUAGGGGAGACUGGAAUUCCUGGUGUAGCGGUGGAAUGCGCAAAUAUGGGGAGGGAAGGGGGAAUGGCGAAGGGGGGGUCUCUGGGCCAAUACUGACACUGAGGAGCCAGA
Molecule: ribosomal RNA, 386 nt
Filed under: uncultured bacterium
Lineage: Bacteria
Description: bacterial SSU rRNA
Rfam family: Bacterial small subunit ribosomal RNA
Source: RNAcentral